RNAcentral lists this unclassified non-coding RNA (298 nucleotides) under Bombus terrestris (buff-tailed bumblebee). RNAcentral describes it as "misc RNA ENSBTSG00005035664.1". The record is from RNAcentral. Lineage: Eukaryota; Metazoa; Arthropoda; Insecta; Hymenoptera; Apidae.
UGAUGUGGGCGUAGGACUCGCCGACGGACCAAAGUUUCGUGUAAAUAUUAAUUUUCGGAGAAUAAAGCCGGUCGUCAAAGCGCUUCAUUGUUAGCCUUACUCACGUAUGAGGGACUACUUGAAAGGAAUCUUAGCCGCUGGGUUUCCGAAGGAAGCCGGAAGUGUACUUUGAAUUUCGCGGAUGCCGUGUGGUCAACUACCUCGACAAUUAUUUCAAGCACCGUUCUACCAAGACUUCGCUCGGUAUAUCGAUCGAUCGAUGAACAACGAGCAACUUUCAUCCGUUGUUUCAAUUUUG